Gallus gallus (chicken) is the source of this 14384-nucleotide long non-coding RNA. RefSeq lists it as uncharacterized. Lineage: Eukaryota; Metazoa; Chordata; Aves; Galliformes; Phasianidae. The transcript is spliced from 4 exons. The record is from RefSeq and is a predicted model, not a curated record.
UCAGAGUAGCUUUUCCUGAUGUCUUCAUUCACAUUCAGGCCUCCUCAGGAUUCCUCAAACAAAUUUCAUGUUUUUGUUUUUUCCCUGCAAGUUGAACCUUUGUGAAUUAUGAAAGUGAGAGAAACUUGAUCUGGUAAGCUAAUAAUUUAAUGUUAGUUAACUUAACAUGAAAGAAGCAAUAAGAGACUAAGGUUCUCCUGUGCUGCUCAAUUAUAAGGUGGUCUUCUGGGGUGAAUUGUGCAUGCAGAAAUGUUUUAUUGUAGGUUUGUGAUAACCAAAAUACCAUAUGUAAGGUCUGGGCCACAAUAUGUCAGCCACAUAGUACAUGGAGUUUGUGGGCUUGGGGAAAUCCUGGCUGCUGAAGAAGAGUGUAAGGUCUUCAGAAGACUGGAAGGACUUCAGAAGACUACACUGAAUAAAUUAUUGGCAGUGCUUUAUCCUCUGAAGGAUCUCUAAACCUAUGGUGUGGGAUGUGAGGGAUGACGGCUGCAGUAGUGCAUAUUCUUGGAAAGCAGAGCAGGCCUCUGCAAGUCUAGUGUGUGUGGAGAAAGGGGACUCUUGUGUAAGCAGAACCACGAUAGCUGGGUGGAAAAAGGCUAUGAAAAAGAAGAAAAAUAUUCAUGGCCUUUCAACAGUGCCCAUAUAAUCUCUCCAGCAGUUCAGAUGAAAGACUUGAUUUGAUUGAAACUGCUUACUCUUGUUAUUUAGAAAUGCAAUUCCAUUGGCUAGAUGGGAAUUGGAGCAUAACUGCAUAUAAAUGUAGGGGCUGAGUAUCUGCAUAUGUGCACAUAUGUCGGCACAUAGAGAGGAAUGUAAAUAAAAGACAUAAGGAGCUACAACGAUUGCUACCAUUCUGAUCUUUGUUUUCAUUUUAUAAGUCAUUUAUUGCUCUGUUUUUACAUGGAAUAUUUGUUUAAAAACCCAGUUGCACUUAAUGACAGUUAUAGGCACAAUUUGUGGAUUUCAGUCUAGAUACUGCUUACAGUACAUGUUGUCUGUUAUGUCUGUUAUUCUAGGAUUUUUGAGCCUGAUGUAUUCUAAGUGAGAAACUUCUGUAGCUUAUUUCCAGGCAUGGGAUUAAUUUUUAUUCCUCAGCUUCAGGUGAGUGUGGCUAUGCGUUGGCUGCUUUUCUACAAAGCAUGAUUAUCUCUGGUUUACUAGGAGCUGUGAUCUUACAGUGGCUCCUCAUGGGACUGGAAGCCACUGGUCAGCACUGUGCUUUGUCAGCUACAUGAUGGGCAGGCAGUGGAGCACUCCAUCCCCACUUGUAGUGCAUGAGUGCAUUGCAGUGCCUACAUCCUCUUAUCACAGUCUUCUCUGGCAGCCCAUGAUUUCCCCAAGCCCACGUACUCUGAGCUCCUGUCACAGUGCAUAGUGGUGCGGGCUCCUAGUGUUCCUGAUUUGUAUCCACAAAGAGAUUCCCAAAAUCUGCUCUGACACUAAUGAGUAGGAGGAAUUGGUUUCAUGCAGAUGGGUAUGUGUAGGUAACGUUUCUGCUCCAUGAGAUGAGUCAAGGCUGUGGCUCCCUUGCCUUACCCCUAGCACUCAGCAUGCCACUUUACUUGAGUGCACAGAGGACGUAGUGGCACAUCCACAAAGACAGGUAAAAGAGUACCAAACAUGAACUUCUAACAGGUGUUUCAUUUAACUGCUCGGUGCCUUGAGCAAAUUACUUGGCUCAGCAUCCUAUAGCUCUCUCCUUUCAAGUUUAAUUUACCCUAACUGGAUUUAAGUAAAGCAUCAUCUCAGUAUCAUCAUCAUUGCAUUGUUCAAGUUCCCAAUUGGCAAAGCAGAAGGCAGCUCAACUGAAGUUGCUUCCUAAUAGCUUCAACAUAAAUGUAUUUCAAAGGGAAAUUGUUCUCAGCCUAAUACCCUACAGAAUUCUAAUUCAAACUAUAAUCCCUGAGUUUCAAAUAUCUGAGAAAUACUGUGAAUGUUUGAAACCCAAAUGUCAGCUGAGAAGCUAAAGAUGAGUUUGAGUGCUCAGAAUCUUAAAAACUAUAUAGCCUCUGCCUUUUGUACAUUUGUGUGGUUUCUUUGUUUUUCUUUACCAAAUGAGCACUCAAAUCAAUGGAGUUAAUAUGAGCAUCAGAGUAUAAAAAGGGGUCAAAUGGUAAAGAAGUGUGAGGUAUUUGUCCUCUGGUUGGACAAGUAAACUUAAGACUGAAGGAUUUUACUGUAAUUAAUAUAUCUAACACUUUGGAGUCCAUUAGCUCUGUUCCAGACACAAAAACAUGCACUUCUCUACCAAAGUGAUGAGGUGUUUUCCUUAACAAAUGCUGUUGAAGAAAAAUUUGGUGAGAUGAAUGCAUCAAACACAAUAAGCAUUCUGAAAGCAUUAUGGCUUAUGCAAUAAAUAUACUUACAUUUAGAAAAUUGCUUCAUGUCAAAACCUCUGUAGAGAUUUGUAGCAACAGUAAUGAUUUUUAAAAUACUGUGUUUAUUCAUUUUGGUAAAUUAGUAUGCAGUGAACAGAAAGUACAGCUAAGCCGAGUUUGGCCACAGUUCAGGUCCAUGCAUUUCUCAGGGGGAGGGCAUCCCUGAGUUUUCUGAUCUGGCAUUCUAGACAGGUUGGUUAUUUCAGGACAUAAAAAUGCACCAAACUAGGUAUUUCCACCUGGUGCCUGUUUUGAACCAGCAACAAACAUUUUGUGUUUUUACUGAAGCCUCUCUACUAGACUUUCAGAAGAUUUACAAGCAUUACAGCAUAAAACCACUCACUCUUACUCUGCACUACAAUGUUAGUAUCAGAGUUGCAUUCUGUGCUAGUCUACAAUAAAUGAUAGAGUGCUCCCUAUUAUCACAUUUCUGCAUCAGUUUGUAUACUGGAAGUCUCCAGUUACUUAACAGUAGACUCUCUUAAAUAAUUUAUUGUUAUUACAUAUAUUUUCUAUGAUUGUAGUGCCUAGGUGUUUUAAACAUGGAACUGAACCUAAAACCAGUGUGAGGGCUGCUUGUAAUGUAAGAUGGCACAAUAUGUGCACAAAGAAAUAAGCCGGUGUUGGGCAGCACAGUGGGCAGGGGUUAAGCACAUCAGCUGCCUGCCUUCUGUUUUCAUAAGUGUCAUGAAAAAGAAUAUACCUUGUGGUAAAUGGCAGCAGAUAGAUUUUAAGUAAAUGAAAGCAGAUAGGGAAAUAGAGGGUCCUUAGAGCCGAAAGUGGACAGUUUAGGUUUGCUGCAAUGGCUCGAGGUAAAAGGAUUAGCCAGAAUGACCAGUGCACAGGUGAAGUGACAUAGGCAGGCAGGGCAGGAAAAUUAUCUUGGUAGAAUGCUCAGAGUAGAGAUCAGUGGGGUGAGGCUGCACUUGGGAAGGUGUUGCAAUAUUCGGGAUGGUACGAGUUGACAUAAAAGCUCUGGUUCGGUGAAUAGAGAUCUUAUACAAAAAGAAAUGACAGAUGUUAGGACAUAAACUGGACAUGAGAAGUUGGAGUGAGGCUGCCUGUCCCUCGCGGGAGGAACCAUUAAUCUUACAUUUUUGAGUAGUUGUUUGUUUUUUUUUUCCUAAUUCCAGGUUGGAAAAGCAUGAAUGUACAGCACUGAGAUGCACCCAUUGGGCUGACAUGAGGUAGUUUAGAGGCAUGCCUCAGAGUGCUUUUGCUUCAAGUUUCAAUUGAGGUGCCAGAAUUAAGGAAUUCCAUAAGAAUGUCAGUCGUAAUUAAAAUUAAAAAAAAAAAAAAAAAAACUUGGCACUCAGGGUUUCAGAGAGCUGGAAAACAUUACUAAAAUGUAUGGGAAAUUAGAAGUGAAAUAGUAGGAACUGAACACUUCUACUUGUUAGAACUCCUGAACUUUUAAACGGCAUCUCUCGUUUUUCCUGCUGAGUAGGUAUUCCUGAAUACUCUAGACUGACAUGGUUCACAUUGAACAAAUUCAUUUGUAUAGCCCUGCUAGCUGCAGUCGCAUUUCUGUUGACAAUAUGCCUUGUUGCAAUACUGAUGUUUUUAGUUUUACGCAGAUCAGCAUAUCAGUAUCAUUGCUUUGUUGCCAAACAUCUUAUCAUGUUCUAUACUAAUCAUAGCUAGAGGUUGCCAAAGCAGUGUUUGACAUCUUCAUGGCUGUGCCAGCUACUAGUGGUAGUAGGAACAUCUUCUGCUCUUCUCUACUAUAAAUCUCUUCUACUCUAUUCUAUACUAUAAAUGCAAGCUAUUUCAGAAUAGGUAGCAUAUAUGCUACUUUAAGUCCAAGGAAACGUUGUAACUGGAAGUUUGGGCACCUUAAUCUCUAAUGCAAAUUUAAUCUGUAAAGGACUUUGUAGUCUCUGAACUGACAACAGAACUGGAAAUAAAGCCUAGAUUUUUUUCCAAAACUAGCCCCAUACAAAACUCACAUACUCAUGGGAAUUUGCAACUGAUUAAGAAUACCCAGCAAAUUCCAGUUUAAAAAUGAAGAUGAGCACUCAUAUUAAUCCCUGCAGGAGCUACUUCCUUGUCUUCCAUAUUGAGCAUUGUCUUCUUUUUGAGAAAAGCUGUGGGUUUUUUUAACUUCACAUAAGCCACAUACUAACAGUGAAGCACGCUGAAAUUUUUGCACAGUUUAACAGGUCAAGUCAAAACCUCACAGCACAAAAAAUUUCACUUCAGCCCAGUAAUCCACCAGGAAACUACAAAGCGCUUUGUCUUUAGUAGAAUGUUUACUCAACUAACUCUGGUUAAGAGUUCACCUUUAUUGGACAGUCUAGACAUGGCUUCAGCUCUGUAAACCAACUUCUUGCCCUCUGGAGUCACCUUGCAAUUGUUUCAUACCUUCAAAUACUAUAGAUCUACGUUAUUAAACAUUAACCAUGUUUAUACACUUCACAUCAAACUUCUUUCUAAGCAAGCUUAACACAGCCUUAAUAUAGUAUUAUUUCUAUCUUCAGUACUGUAUUUCCACCUGACACAGGCUUCAGUGAUUGCUCCCUUAACCCUCGUGAUGUGGAUCAAAAUUGCAGUCCACUGGUAUAACUUUAGAUCCCAUUGUUGAGCAACUUCACUCCUGUGCUUGUGGUGGUGGACAUUUCAGUAUCAUUGGUCAAGCAGAUCCUCCUGCUGAGCUGUGUUAACUGUGCUGUCAGAAGCUGUGUAAAUGCAGUCUUCCACACUACAUCAAACCUGCCUUUUGACUUGCAAAAGGCCCCGUUGAGACCAUUUUGCUUGGCUUUGUUAACAAAUGCAGAGGUAGGUGGAGGCACAGAAAUCUUCCCACUCUCCAGGACUGAGUAGGAACAAGGUCGGUUUCCUUCUGUUUUUUUUUUUUUUUUUUUAAUUGACCUUGUUCCAGCUUUGAUUCAGCUGUGAUUGUAUUUAAUUACUUGUGCUCUUAUAUUCAAUAAAAAGUAAGAACAAAAAAAAAAAAAAGAGUGUAAGCUAAAGACUGUGGAAGAGAUAUGAAUUUAGCUGUCCAGACUGCUGUCACACAUAAAUAGUGGCAAUUUAUCUCUUUAACUUGUGGAAACCAGUUUAACAUUUCACCUACAGAGAAUGUCUGUGUGCUGAACCUUACUCAGCAGUAGUAGAGUUGUCAUGCUUGUCCAGCACUGCUCUGAGGUAGAGAUGUCAAGUUUUACAACCCAUUGAAAUGAGAGGUUAAUGAUUUUCUUAUUCAUAGAGCAGAAAUAAACUUGAUCCCCUCACCCUGCUUCAGGUGGCUGAUGGAGAGACCUAUUUAAGUGGUGACACAAAGGUAUGUAUUGGGCUGAAGAUUGAUGACUGAGGACUCAGGAUGAGCUUCAGUUUCCUACCGAUGUGGGGAGAGGUGCAAAUUCUUCCUGGGAAAGAAACAAUCUAUUUCUUACCAAGAAGAAAUUGGAGGAGUAACUCUCACUACACUUCUAGAGGAUGCUUCAGCAUAGUCCUUCUGAAUGGCCAGGCAAGGCUAUUAGUGCCUGCUAAUAAAUGAGAGACUAGUAAUCGUCCAUACUACAAAGCCAUCUGUACAGGACUUAAGAAGAGGAUGGAGUCCAACAAUUUGUGCUAAUGUCUGGAAACUAUUUGUUGUGAAGAUAGCCACUCUUGGGUGCUGAGUGCGAACAUGAGGGUUUGCAUAACAAAUUGUAGGCUAAAUCCAGAAACUCUUCUGCAAAUACAGCCUUACUGAGUGUUCAGAUGAGUAAGGAGCUGGGCUUCAGUAUAAACAAGAAAGAGAGGAGGAAUUGCAGAGCAAAAUGGCCAAGUAUGGGGCUCCUUCUGUUGUCUCAUCCUCAUGGGUCAAUAACAAAGUUACACUGACUUCCCCAAGAGAUUAUUUAAACCUAUCACUCUAAAAGUUGUUUCUCUGAGCAUGUAGGCAGUAAGAGAAAGCUGUGUGCAUAGAUGUAGAAGUGCGUUUUCAUCCCUUCUUGCAGCUGGUAAAAUGAGAACAGGCUCCCAAACUGCAGUUGCACUAACAGAUACCUGAGAAGUCCCCGUUCCACACUGUCCCCUUGUCUGGGCAUUGUAUGGAGGAGUGCCACCUCCUUUCAAGUCAAAACCUUGCCAGCUGCUAUGAUUUGGUAACAAUUUGACAAUAUCAGAGGCAGGAUAAUGCUAGCUUUGCUAAUGUGUAGUCUCAAGCAGCACUGAUGCCAUCAGUGCAUCUGAAAUAAGAAUGUCAUCUGUGGUGAGAAUUAUGGAAGGAUUAAGUGAUCAGUCUCCUGGUAGUAAUCUGUUGAGAUGUUUCAAUUUUAUGAUGAAGUCCACUUCUAUUUUACUUCUUUUUUGCUGUCCUUGCAAUCCCCAGCCCUAGCUCUGUGGCUAAACCAGAAGGACUUCUCUAGACUAGGAGAAGAAGGUAUGGAUGUAUCGUUGGGCUCAGAGAGAGAUCCUUGACAAAGGUAGGUACUGCAAGGCUCACUCAGCAAAUUGCCAGAGAGAGACAGGAAUUGCUAAGAGCCUAGACAAAAAGACUGGGAGAGAUAGGGAGAGACAUCUUCUGGAAGCAGCAAAUAUUUGUGUUUGUGGAGCAGGAGAUUCUGCAGAAGUGAAGGGAGAGGACCUAUUCUCUUAUUCCUUUUUGUUGGUUAAACUGGGAAGUGAGAACACUGUCAUGUUCUCUGUAGUAUGUUUUGUGGCUGCCUCCUCGAGCCUGUAUCCACAUAAUCCAAAUGCAAGUGUGAACUGUGUGAAACUUGCCUCUGUAGUGAGCCUUCACAUUUUUGUAUUGAUAGCAUUUUACUGGAAAGGUGCAGUUAUAGAUGCUGUUAUGUUAACCAAAUGCAAAAAUAAUGUUUAACCUAUGGUUAGUUUUUGCAUAUAAAUAAAUGUUGUACAAUAUAUUCUAUUUAAUAAGCAAGAUUCUGCUAUCUAUAAGAUGAUGGUCUUCUCUUGGUAGGUUCUUAAAGGAUGUUUUUGUCAUUAUCAAAAAUGUUAGUCUUUCUCUGUGCCGUGCACUGGGAGGCAGCAAAAGGUGAACAGCACAGAAAAUGAACACAGUGUUCUGAAAGGUAAGGAAGGGAAAACAGUCAUCUAAUAUACUACCCUUCCAUCAGUUUGUUACCUCUGAAUUUCCCGAAUCUUAGUCUAUGGAGUUUCCUCACAUUAUUCUGGCUGUAAAUUAUUUAUAUACAUUUCCCCAUCUUUUAUUGCACUCAGUUUCUCAGCUUCCUGUGGGACAUCACUAGCUUCCAGCAAUGUGCUGAGGCACCACCUCUAGAAUCUGCCAGAAAGGAGAGGAGAUGGAGCUAACAAAGUGAGACUCUGGGAUUUGUGCUAGAAUGGAUCGUCAUAGAUGAAUAACUAACAGCAUUUUCUCUCAUUUCUGAAAAAGCUCUGUAGUUUUGUUGGCAUAAUUCAUUAACCAGCAUUUUUGCACUUCAUUAUUAAAGGUAAAUCUUUCUCCUGUUUUCAUCAAUCUCAAUGAAGAAAUCUGCCAUUCAUUCCCGUUAGAAGGCUGUUUCUCAGAGCAUCUCUGCUGGUAUUUUAUUCCAUUCAGUUUAAAAUACCCCGGAGAAGGAAUAUUUCUCUGAAGGGAUGUGGGAGUGAGGAUACAGCCCAGGCCAUCCUGUGGUCAGAUAUUAAUGAAGAUAGCUCUAUUUUCUUUGCAUCCUAUUAUCGCUGGGUCUGUACAGCUCUUAAUUCUUCUUCCUACUCUGUGUUUCACCUUUCAGACGACUACAGACAUGUAAUUACGCCAAACUUUGGCCAAAAUCAGGUUGUACAAUAUAUUUGUCAAUGAGUAGAGCCAAGUGAACCUCCAUAGGAACUGUAGCAUGCCCAAAUGCUGCAUGGAUCCCACGGUUCUCUGUGGUAUGCUUUGGCAGUGGUAAGUACAAGCAAGGUUUUUCCGUUCCCCUGCCUGUGUACCACUGAAAACUCCCAUUCAAUAGCUCUACAUGUUUCUCAUAGUGCUAUUUGUAUUACUGUUUUUCACUUUUCUGCAACCACAAUGAAAAGCGUUCUCAUAAUUUACUGUAUAAAAUCCAUUUAUGGUGGCAAAAAGUCUGCUUGGGUUCCACAGUUUCUGGAGAUCUCCAUUUUUAAAGUGAGCUAACUAAUGCUAAAUGCUGUCUGAUGACUAAGAAGAUAUAAAAUGUCAUUGAUGGGACUGGAAAGUCUUCUACAGUUCUUAGAACAGUCAAGAUUUAGUUCCUCCUCUGCAAGACAUAUAUCUAGAGGCAGACAGAGAUGAGUAAUCACAUGGUAGUGCUCACGAAUGGCUAUCAAAUGGAAAUUGUUCUUCUUGUGGACUUCUUCAAGCCCACAGCUGCAUUCUUCACUGCUGUGGGACAUCUGAAGUCAAGUGUCGAAUUUGCUGUGGCUGACUUGCAAUCAGACUUACUGACUAGGGUAGGCUGACUUUCAGAAAGUGUAAAAGACAGAACAGCAACUGUGGAAAUAAAAAGAAUGUUUUUUCAUUGCUGGCAGCUUCUUUGCUCUGACCUUUUGACAUCAUUCCAAGGUCAGUUAAAUGCUUCAGAGGAACUGGAGUGAUUAUAAAUCAACUUCGUCAUCAUCCAUAAGGUGGAUGGAGAACAUUUCAUAAAAGUGAAAAAAGGUUUCCAGGGAGAUCUUCUUGAGGUGUGAAUAGUGCCCACUGUGUGCAAUACCCCUGACAGGAGACAGUGCAGAUGCAGCACCUACCUUUUUGCUCCAGAAAGCACUCAAAAGAAGACACGAUUGCCCUUUGGCACCUUCAGAGGCUGUUCCAGGAUGCAUCAUCCCCUAGUUCUAAGCUUCCGUGUCUCUAGAAAACUGGAUGACCCUAGAGAGGAAUUCCAAACUCUUCCCAACUCCUCCAAUUUUGAAAGGCCGUUUUCCAAGACAAAAAUUUGUUGAAAAGCGAUGUGUUUAAGAUAGGGGUGUAACUUCUAAUAAUAUGAAAAUACAGAAGAAAAAAAAGUGCUUGAAUAUGGAUUUGACCAUGGGACAUUGGAAAUGCAAAAGAAUUUUAGACUUUUUAAUGCAAAUAAGCAAGUUGCAUCAUUCCAAGUUCAUUCAGAGGCAUAUGUUGAAACAACACAAAGCAAUGUAAAUAAGCAGUCCAAAUCACUUGUCAGACGGCUUUACAACAAUGGAUGACUUUCCUUAGUGCCUUAGUGCUGCUCUAUCUGCAAGGAAUCUUCCUGGAGCACCUCUUGAGAGCUGCCACAAUAUCAAGUUAAUUCAUGUUGAUGGCCACUGCCUAUUAGUCACUACUUUGAGAAGGAACAACAGCGACAGGAUACUUGAAAAGAAAUACUGCAGCUGAUGCUUUGCAUUAUGAAAAAUGCCGACAUCUGAUCCAUUUUGAUAUCCUUGAAUAUCUGAUCUUUGGAAAAAUUACAUGUGGAGUUCAGGACAUUGGGCAUUUGCUCCCUGAGCGAUGGAGUCCAGAACCUGUUUAAGGGUCCCAGCAGCCCACCUCUAUUUCAUAGUAGACAACCCCUUGAGUGACAAAAACCUUUUAAAGGGGAAAAAUAACAUGAACAACUCCUUCUAACAUGGUUGGAAUUGAGACCACCUAAGUUUUUGCUCUAAGCUGUUCCUGUACAAUCUGUUUCCCAGGUAAUCUUCAUGUUUAUUUAAGAGAAAGAGAUCAUCCCGCUCUUUCACAGAAGCUCUCUCUUAGCCUUUUGAGGAUGCUCCAGGCUAAUGUAUGGAGCCUAGAGGGUGUAAUUCAUAGUUUGAAACCUAUUAUACUCAUGCCUUAUCUUCUAGUGAUUGCUCUGAGCAUCAAGAAUUGUAAGAAAGGAAGGAAGGGCCCCCCAUCUCCUUCUCAGCUUGUGCUGCUCAGCUCCACACAGAAGAGCGUAUUUCUGCAGAAAGGCAGAAGCAGAGCUGUGAGUCACAAAUGAGUCAAAAGGACAAAAGCUUAGUGGGCAAAGACUGGCAUUUUUAUUAUAUAAAAUCAGACUUUUGAGAACUGUCUUUUUAAGCUUAGCAUCCUCCACAAUUCUUAAGUGGGAUUAAGAUGUCCAAAACAAGAUCUCUUCUUCUUUUAAUUACUAUCUACUGACAUUAUUACAGAGUUUACUAUUUGUGUAUGAGUUAAGCACAAGGUGAGGAAUUAUCCUAAGCAACAAUUUUUCCUUGCUUACCAAAGCUUGCAAUGGAGAGCAGAUUGCCUAUCCCUGUAACGGAUGUACAUGUGUAAGAGAUUUUUAAAUGGCAAAUAACUAGCAGAGCCUUUAUUAUUAAUAUCAAAACAUCAUUUUUUCUUGUACUCUUUUUUCCAGAUGAGUUUUCUGUUUGAAUUCAUUGAAACUUUUUCAUGUAGUUUAUUAGAACCAGUAUAUUGUAUUAAUUUCCCUAAAAAUUCUUCACUUACAAAGCAGCUGAAUAAAUUUUAUAGUGGAAUAAGGUGUGAAGAUGAAUUACUGCCCAUGCAUGUGAACACCACUGAUCAGGAGGUGACACUUUACUGUAGUAGCUCAAUAGAGAGAUAUCAAGGAACAUAUAAGGGUUAAUUUAGCAAGAUCCCCUGAAACAGUGUAGAAAAAAAAUGUUUCAGUAGGUAAAAAUUCAGAAUGCUGUCUUUAUACAUUCAACAGUCUGCUAAAUUAAAAAUAGUUAAAACUCAUUUUUGUGCCACGAUUACACUAAAAUCUGAGAAGACCAGUAAGGGAGGAAAGUAUCUUCCAGGAGAUCAGAGCACUUUCAUGGAAUUUUGGACUUCAGAGAUUCUGCAGGUUUCAAAUAUAAAUAUAUGCAGUUUUAAAAUGUUAGAAACAAGUGAGUCAUCCUUAUCUCUCAGGGGAGUAGUUACUUAGGUUGGUAGCAUGGGAGGGUUAAGGGAAGGAAAAGAGGAAGACAGUUGUAAUAAUCUUGAGUAAUAGUAGACAAACCUGUCCCUGUUCCUUUUCUCUCUCUCCCAUCCUCUCUCGAUUAGCACAAGAGCUAUAGAAAUGUCAUUUCAACAUGUUACAUCCAUUCAUAUGAUCAAAAUGAAUUUAUUUUAGAACCCAAUUUUUGCAUAAAUGCUUAUAUGUGUGGUCAGAGAUAUAGAAGUCAGCAAAGAGCAUCACAUUAUUUAAGUAAGAUACUUUCAGCUAAGUAAGCUGAGCUGGUCAUGCAUGACAUUGAGUGCUGCUGAGAAGGUCCUCAGCAAACUCUCUUGCUCCUUUCCUCCCUACAGACGUGCAAAAAGUUCUCCGUACUUUAUACAUUCAUGUUGGUAAGGAUGUCUUCAAGCCACUGUAAACUAAGCAGCAAUGACAUUAGAUUCUAAUUAAGAUCUUUUGGCUUUCACAUUGAUAAUGAGCUGUAGGCACUUCUUUGUUGCUCUUGUUAUUUUUGUAAAGCUGUUUGGGAGCUCCCUUAGAGAAUCUCCCCCAAGAAAAAAUAUUGUUUUGCUUCCACUCUCUGCACAUCAGUUGUCAAAUUCAAAGAUGCCUGCCAACACAGCUCAGCCUUUUGUAGUCAGAAAUUCAUUUUCAAACAAUGCUUUCCAAUUCCUAGGUAAUCUGGUGUGUGUUAUUUAAACAUCUAAUACAUGUAAUUUCACAAGGAUCAACAUAGCCAAGUACACAGAAGCCUAGAACUGGCAUGUCAAACAAAACAUUUUCUGUUAGAAGUGAAUAUGAUUUCACUGUGAUUGAAUAAUCAGUGUUUUGAAUGUUAGUGUCUGAAGUUUUACAAUGUAUUUCAAAGCCUAAUUUAAAAAGCACAUACUAACACUUCCCGAUUAUGUCUGUAGAGCAGCUGUUUUGUGUGAUUUAAUGGUGAGUGUAAAAACCUAGCUCCGUUUAAGCCAGCUGCACGAAUCUCUGGAGUUUCUUUGGUUUGGCAGUUUCCCACCUUCUCCUUCAGGAUACAACCUUCUCCUUCACAAUGGGACUUUCAUCGCCAUCAAUUCCAAUCUCUAAUUAUGUUUCAAUCUUGCAAUGACGUGCCUAUAAAGAGUCUCUUGACAUUUUUUUCUUGGUUAACUUGGGCCAAGAUCACAUGGACAUGAUGUGGCCUGCUGAUUCUCAUGAUUUCAGUAAGAUCCAGCUGUCUUUCAGGAAAACCUCCUUCAAAAGAUCAUGACAGAGCUGGCUGGUGAACUGGUCAUCUUCUUUUACAGUAGCUGGUAAGUCAAAACAAGAUCACAGAGGCUAUGUCUUCAUUCAUUACUGAUGUUGGAGCUUAAAUUUGCAACUGCCUGCCCUUGAGUCAGAUGUUUUGUUUUGGAAGGUGUAGGUGUUUUGAUACAAGGCUAAUGAGAGUGAAUCCUUAAUCAUUAGACAACACUCUCCUGUGAGGCAAAAGUCUCACUCAGAAAUGAUAAAUCUUUGAACAGGCUGUUGCCCUACACUCUGAUGAAUUUACUCUGUAAAGUUUUGUUGUGCGAUAUGCUAUAAGAACCAUUUUCUACCUAAAUCUUUCCUGUGCCUGACCCCAGCCUUCCCUUUUUCAAGACAUCAAAAGGAGGCUGGAGCUUUACCUUUCUCUGCUAGGGAGGGGCAGACAUAUGGGGCACAAAAAGGGACAAGACUCCUCUAAUUAUCCACAGUAUCAAUAGUUUAUCUUCUCUGCAUUUCACCUACUACACUGCAAAAGUGUCAUUCUCUCACUAAGCAGUGUGCAGUGCCUAUGUUAGUCUUAUUUCAGACAGCAGGGCUUCCCAGGUGGUGUGCAGCAGCAGGAUUUGGAGCUGAGUCUAUGGUUAUUAUAGAUGGAUUAUGCACUUUGGGCUAGUGUGAUGAAAAUUCGUAAGAAUUUAGGAGAUUCUAUUACACAAAGUACUUCUGUUCCAUUUAAAAUAUAAAUAUAUAUAUAGUUACUAUGUGUGCUGACAAUGGUUACUGUCAAAAGUAAGGCUCUCUCCAACAGGAAUAAGACCAAUUUUGAGGGAAAGAAGAAGUGAAAUGACCUGUGCAGUGAGAAGGCUGGUUCUAGACUAGAUGAAAGAAUCUUUCCAGCCCUUUCCUCAGCUGUAUGACAAUUUAAUAAACACCUGCUUAACACUGCAAUUCACCCAAUCAAGUUUCAAGACCUUGGACACCUGUGCAACACAUUGAUGUUGAUAAUAAUAUCUGGAGAUUGAUUUCAUUAGCACAAAAGCCUACAAAUCCAAGUUGAUAGGUCUUGUACUCUGCACAGAACCCCUGGCUGGAUUGUACCAAGGCUGGUAUCCCAAUGUCACAAGCGGGGCUGCUGUCUGGCCCUGCUCCCCCCAGGCAGGUCAAGGCAGUACUGGCAGAUAGGCCAUCCCUGUGAGAUUCUCUUGCUGCUAAAAUGGCCCUCAUUUUCAUUAUCUGUGUUACAGUAGCACCUAGAGGUGCUUUUUAUUGGACAUAAAAAGACCCUGUUAUUCUACCUCAUGUGUCCUAUUGCUGAGCUAUAAUACAACACAAUCUCUUGGGCAUGAAAAUCUUUUUUUAAUUAAGCAAUUAGAAUACUGCAUUAUUUGAGGAUCAUUCAGCUUCUUCUAAUCCUUAUUUGAUUUAGCUUUAUUUCACUAAUGUACAUUUUGCUGCUUGUUGUUAUCUUUCUCUUUGAAUCUGCUUAGAAAUCCAUUUGCUCUGGGUAAUUGUUCCUUCACAAGGCACUUUUCAGUAAUGUUCAGCACAAUGAUUUCAUGUUAAAAGAUGAUGUUAAAAUAAAGUGGCUGUCAUGAUAAAGUCUGUUUCAAAAAAAGAAUCAAAAUCUACCAUUUGUUCCUGUUUCCAAUUAUCCUCCAUUACAGGUAAUGAAAUAAUGUGAGUAAAAGUUACAAGUGUCAUACUUAAAGGGAACUUGGACACUCAUCAAUAAUAUCAGAGAUGACAAAACUAAUCUUGUUUAGUUACAUAUACUGCUGCAGUCAGAACGUCUGAUUACAAGAGAGAAAGGAAGCAUCAGUAUUAUUACUGAAGUCUGAAAGUCAUUUUAUUCCCAAAUUAGCAGCAUUGUUGAUACAGCUGAAUAUAUUGAAUGUACAUUUCCUUUAUCAAAAUAAUUUCUGUGCAAUAAACAGAAAGAAUUUGAAUGUACUGCCUCAAUUUGACUUUUUUUCUAUCUGAAUGACUUUUAUAUAGAGAAAGAAUA